Molecule: long non-coding RNA, 200 nt
Filed under: Elaeis guineensis (African oil palm)
Lineage: Eukaryota; Viridiplantae; Streptophyta; Magnoliopsida; Arecales; Arecaceae
Description: long non-coding RNA (EGUI_LNC043325)
Source: RNAcentral
CGUAAAGAACUGACUGAGAUAUACAAGAAAGUGAUAGAGGAAUGUGAUGCAUUGAAAGAGAAGCUGAUGACAUUGGACGAUAGUACAAAGAAAUUCAGCUGUAAUUAUGAUAGGAAGAAGGGAUAUUCAUCCCGAAAACAUGUUUCAGCUGUCAGAGAUUUUCUUUUAGGAUGCGGACCAGUUACGAGAAGAUGAAAAAG